UUUGGCGGGAUCUGUGUCUCUCGCUGGUGCUGGCACAAGAGCUUGGGAUCCGUCUCCUCUUUCGCCUCCUGCACCUUGGGAGCCCCGGGCUACUCUCUCACAGCCCCUGUUGCCCUGUGAUCUGUAGGUCCUUGGGGACGCAUAGUUAAGGUGCCAGGACAUCCUGGAAGCUGGGAAAUGAUUUCUUCCAGACCAUGGCUGGAGAAGGAAAGAAGGUGUGUUUUGCCUGACUCAGUGACUAUAGAGAGAACCAAGUUCUGCAGGCCUGUCACCUAAGUCUCAGGGCGGGGAGACCUUCCUUCCCCACGGGUUUGAGGCUAUGGCUAAGUGGUGAGCCUUGGUGAGACGCAGAAAGGAUCCAUCCCAGGCACUUGGCUAGAGGCUGAAUGCUAUCCCAGUGAUUGUACGUGCCCUGUUUGCUGAAUCUACUCAUCCUUAAGGGUACAUUUGCUUCCAGGUAACAUGUUUGUGAGUAAUACUACAAUGUGCAUAUAUCUAUUCCAUGUUCUGCUUUGUCUGUUUGGGAUAUUUUUCAUACACUGAUUCAGUACCAUGUGUAUUCCCUUGCUUUUGUUGUCUCAUCCGUUGAUGCUACGUCCCCCAAAUUAUUGCCACGACCAGUUGUAAUGAAGCUUCACCCUUCUGUAUUGUGCUAGGAAUUUUACAGCUAUAGGUUUUACAUUAUAGUCUUCAUUCAUUUUUUAAAAUUGACACAUGUAAUUGUGCAUAUUUUGGGGAAACAAUUAUAUAUAUGUGUUGUAUAACAAUAAAAAUCAGUACUUCUAUAUUUGUUGCCUCAUGCAUUUGUUAUUUUUGUGGUGAGAAUAUUCAAAAGCUCCUUCUCUAGCUAUUUUAUUUUAUCUUUAUGUAUUAAUUAUUUUAGAGACAGGAUCUUGCUCUAACACCCAGACUGGUGUGCAGUGGUGCAAUCCUAGCUCACUGUAACUUCAAACAGUCUUCUAACCUUAGUUUCCCAAUUAGCUGAGACUACAAGAAGCUGCCACCAUGCCUGGCUAAUGUUUUAAUUUUUCAUACAGACGGGGUCACACUAUGUUGUCCAGGCUCAUCUUGAACUUCUGACGUCAAGUGAUUCUCCUACCUCAAUCUCCCAAAAUGUAUGGAUUGCAAGAAUAUGCCACCAAAACUGGUCUCUUUUAGCUAUUUUGUAAUAU
Molecule: long non-coding RNA, 1172 nt
Filed under: Homo sapiens (human)
Lineage: Eukaryota; Metazoa; Chordata; Mammalia; Primates; Hominidae
Source: RNAcentral